AGUGAACGCUGGCGGUAGGCCUAACACAUGCAAGUCGAACGGCAGCACAGUAAGAUCUUGCUCUUACGGGUGGCGAGUGGCGGACGGGUGAGGAAUACAUCGGAAUCUACUUUUUCUUGGGGGAUAACGUAGGAAAACUUACGCUAAUACCGCAUACUACCUACGGGUUAAAGCAGGGGUUCUUCGGACCUUUCGCGAUUGAAUGAGCCGAUGUCGGAUUAGCUAGUUGGCGGGGUAAAGGCCCACCAAGGCGACGAUCCGUAGCUGGUCUGAGAGGAUGAUCAGCCACACUGGAACUGAGACACGGUCCAGACUCCUACGGGAGGCAGCAGUGGGGAAUAUUGGACAAUGGGCGCAAGCCUGAUCCAGCCAUACCGCGUGGGUGAAGAAGGCCUUCGGGUUGUAAAGCCCUUUUGUUGGGAAAGAAAAGCGGCAGGUUAAUACCCCGCUGUUCUGACGGUACCCAAAGAAUAAGCACCGGCUAACUUCGUG
RNAcentral lists this ribosomal RNA (492 nucleotides) under uncultured bacterium. Its description in RNAcentral is "partial 16S ribosomal RNA". It matches the Rfam family "Bacterial small subunit ribosomal RNA", at positions 29 to 507 of the family's 1533-position model. The record is from RNAcentral.